GUCCCGGUUGUUUUGUGUAAGCCAGAAGCUUAAGGUCGCCCUGCAUCACGCCUUAGUUUAUAUAGAGACGUCCAACAUUCUCCUCAUCAUUGACACGGUCUACUACAGCAGGCGAAGACAAUACCACAACAAGGUUCAGUUGUAUUGCAAGACUUCAAAACCAACCGAAGGCAGCCUGUGUGAGCAAAAUGUUGACAAAGACUGGACCGUCGGUGCCUCUCCCCACUGCUAUUCCCGCGGUUGACGUCAGUUCCGUCAUCACGUUCCUGAUGUUGGGGCUGAUCCUGGCGUCACUCAUGUGGCUGUGCUGCUGCGGCUGGAAGAUAGAGGGACCCAUGACCGACACCUGGCGGACCAAACCGAUCAGACAGACAAGGGGAUUCGUGACAGGACCGUUAGUGAAAAGCACGAGCCAAUCAACGAUAAGCAGCAAGAACUCACAAAGAGAACAACUGAGUGUAUCGUUUGUUUGAUUGAUUGAUUGGGUGUCGAGUGAGAAAGAGUUUUUUGCGAGAAUGAUAUAGGUCUGUAGUAUGAAGCUGGAUUCUUCACAUAAAGAUAAUGAUAUCACUUUAGUAGCAAAAUGAACGAAUGAACAUUAGAACAAUUAACGUAUUCAUAUUAAAGUAAAGUACAUGUACUACAUAAGACGUAUCAUUUGUCUAGCUUUUUCUAUUUACCUAUGUACCGCGUGGUAUUUGUAAGAAAAGAGGUAACAUCGGUACUACUAUAUAAUGACACUGGUUGAUAUAUUGUUAGAUUAUUCUGCUUCCUUACAAGCUAGGUCCUGUAAAGUUAGCUGAGAGUAACUUAGACGUAAAGCAUGUACAUGGCGUCCCAGCCUUUUUGUCCAGUGACGUUUUUUGGAAGCUUAUCAUGAACUUAAUGUGAAACAAUCUGACAAUAAAUGAAAGGAAAAGUACAAAGGAAA
This is a long non-coding RNA of Branchiostoma floridae (Florida lancelet), 931 nucleotides long. RefSeq lists it as uncharacterized. The transcript has 2 exons. NCBI's taxonomy places the organism in Eukaryota, Metazoa, Chordata, Leptocardii, Amphioxiformes, Branchiostomatidae. The record is from RefSeq and is a predicted model, not a curated record.